GCCCUUUAACUCAGUG
This 16-nucleotide transfer RNA is filed under the name Chamaecrista nictitans subsp. patellaria. RNAcentral describes it as "partial tRNA-Thr". Lineage: Eukaryota; Viridiplantae; Streptophyta; Magnoliopsida; Fabales; Fabaceae. The record is from RNAcentral.